GAUCAUGGCUCAGGAUGAACGCUAGCUACAGGCUUAACACAUGCAAGUCGAGGGGCAGCAUGAACAAAGCUUGCUUUGUUUGAUGGCGACCGGCGCACGGGUGCGUAACACGUAUCCAAUCUGCCCGCGGCUCGGGGAUAGCCCAUCGAAAGAUGGAUUAAUACCCGAUGGUGUGGUUUCUCCGCAUGGGGUUUCCACUAAAGGUUUUCCGGCCGCGGAUGAGGAUGCGUAUGAUUAGGUAGUAGGCGGGGUAACGGCCCACCUAGCCUUCGAUCAUUAGGGGUUCUGAGAGGAAGGUCCCCCACACUGGAACUGAGACACGGUCCAGACUCCUACGGGAGGCAGCAGUGAGGAAUAUUGGUCAAUGGGCGAGAGCCUGAACCAGCCAAGUCGCGUGAGGGACGACGGUACUAAGUAUUGUAAACCUCUUUUGUCAGGGAACAAAGAGACCACGUGUGGUAAGAUGAGUGUACCUGAAGAAAAAGCAUCGGCUAACUCCGUG
Molecule: ribosomal RNA, 502 nt
Filed under: uncultured bacterium
Lineage: Bacteria
Description: bacterial SSU rRNA
Rfam family: Bacterial small subunit ribosomal RNA
Source: RNAcentral